GUAAUACGGAGGGUGCAAGCGUUGUCCGGAUUUAUUGGGUUUAAAGGGUGCGUAGGUGGUCUGUUUAAGUUAGUGGUGAAAUCCUGCAGCUUAACUGUAGAAUUGCCAUUGAUACUGGUAGACUUGAGUAUGGCAGAGGCCCGCGGAAUUCAUGGUGUAGCGGUGAAAUGCAUAGAUAUNAUGAAGAAUACCAAUGGCGAAGGCAGAUUUCUGCGUCUUUACUGACACUGAGGCACGAAAGCGUGGGGAGCGAACAGGAUUAGAUACCCUGGUAGUCCACGCCGUAAACGAUGAUCACUUGGUGUUGGAUUUAUAGAGUCAGCGCCCAAGCGCAAAGCGAUAGUGAUCGCACCUGGGGAGUACGCUCGCAAGAGUGAAACUCAAAGGAAUU
RNAcentral lists this ribosomal RNA (391 nucleotides) under uncultured Bacteroidota bacterium. RNAcentral's name for it is "bacterial SSU rRNA". It matches the Rfam family "Bacterial small subunit ribosomal RNA", at positions 520 to 911 of the family's 1533-position model. The record is from RNAcentral. Lineage: Bacteria; Pseudomonadati; Bacteroidota.